Molecule: long non-coding RNA, 1017 nt
Organism: Oreochromis niloticus (Nile tilapia)
Lineage: Eukaryota; Metazoa; Chordata; Actinopteri; Cichliformes; Cichlidae
Exons: 2
Source: RefSeq, a predicted model, not a curated record
AUCAGCACACCAGCCGCUGAUUACGAGUCCUACUUAAGAUGGUGGAUCUGCUCUACUCGUCGCUGGAUCGUUGAGCCAUCAGCAUUUCCUCCGGACCCGUUCCCUGUGCACUGUGACUAAGCGUGAGCAAGAGUGGUAGUGGGAAGAAGAGGAGUUGUUUGUGUUCGCGAGAGCUGUGUGGAAAUCUUCCCUCCCUGGACUCCUGCCCCUUUCACUCCCGGACCCUGGAACCCCGACCCCUUUUCCCCAGACACCAUUGUGUAUAUAUAUUUCACUGUGGAGGACACUGUAAAUAAAUUCACUUUUGGUUUGAAGGAACUUGUGGUCUGCGCCUGAGUCUGCUUCGCUAGCCCUGACAUUAUUCAGCGGUGUGAAAGCUAUAACUUUAAUCUCAGCCAAACCGAUUUACUCAGGAACAAAUAAAACACCGAAAAAAGUCUAACAAUAACAUUUUUAAGUUAUAUAAGUGACUUAUAUAUCAUGUUUAACCUUAGUACCGAAAAACCGCAGGGGGUCUGAUGUUCUGGGAGUUCGCUGUUCUCAAACUCCCAGUCAGCUAUCGAGGUGGUGGGUAACAGACGUCUCUGAAAACAUCGGAAUUAGGGUUUGAAUUCUGGGAUAGGUUGUGCCACGAAGGACACACUCGACCCAUCCUUCAAAUUCGGGGAAAUGAAGGAUGCAUUUGUCUGAUUUGUCUUCGAAUUUGGGCAGCCUUCAUCGUGUCGCUGUGACAUAAUAGGCCUUCAAAUGUGGCCUCAGAAGGAUGCGGCCUAUGAAUUGGGACAUACCUAAUGUUUCCUUUACAGAUUAACAGAUUAGCAAAUCUCUUUUCUUUACUCUUUUCCACCGGUCUCCCCUCGUUCACAUACAUGUACUUCAACUUGCUACUACAGAAUUCAUGUAUUUUCUCUCCAGUGAAUAAAUCCUUCCUCUCACUGUAGAUCAUGUCUACAAACAUCACAGUCAGAGACAGACGCCUGCCUGCUCACCUGUCAACCUAUCCCCCACCACUGCAAA